RNAcentral lists this ribosomal RNA (253 nucleotides) under uncultured bacterium. Its description in RNAcentral is "partial 16S ribosomal RNA". It matches the Rfam family "Bacterial small subunit ribosomal RNA", at positions 524 to 776 of the family's 1533-position model. The record is from RNAcentral.
UACGAAGGGGGCUAGCGUUGCUCGGAAUCACUGGGCGUAAAGGGUGCGUAGGCGGGUCUUUAAGUCAGGGGUGAAAGCCUGUGGCUCAACCACAGAAUUGCCUUCGAUACUGUAUGGCUUGAGACCGGAAGAGGUAAGUGGAACUGCGAGUGUAGAGGUGAAAUUCGUAGAUAUUCGCAAGAACACCAGUGGCGAAGGCGGCUUACUGGUCCGGUUCUGACGCCGAGGCGCGAAAGCGUGGGGAGCAAACAGG